AUCAGUAUUUUGGGAACGUCGUCGUCAAUUACUACUUUGUCGUCCUUGCCCUGGUUUAAAUAACAACUAGCCUAGUAUGUAUACAUACGAGUAACUUGUAAAAAUGAGCAUGUAUUGGAAAUUCGCAUAUAUUGAUUGUGAAACAUGACUAUUAAAGUAAAAAAAAAAAAAAAGUGAUCUGUAAUGGGUUAUUAAUCUUAUGAUUAUCAUGCUUUGUAUGUUGCUGUAUCAGAUAUUGAAUUGAUCUUUAUAAUUGGGCUAACCACUCGAAUUUUCAUCAAACCAAUUUAACAGCAAAAAUGGUACCAUCAGUUUCAUGGGAAUUGGUCGAAUUCUCGAUCUAUUAACCUCGUAAUAAUAAUAAGUCAGUCUGUCGGUUGUCUUCUUCGAUUAAUUUUAUUUUUCUGUUGUAAAGUUGAAGUUUGGUUACUCAGAAGAAAACUAGGAAAACAGAAAAGAAGGUAUAGAAAUGAAUGCAGAGAAAUAAUUAAAUGAAUUCUAAUGAAGGGAGUGAAACUGAUUGAUUUGAUGAUUCGCCCUUAGCAUAAAGCACGAAAACGAAGGUUAUAGAAGUAUCAUUGGCACCUAACGUACGCUUUUGUUAUAAUUCGUUUAACAUAAACGAAAAGUCAUUAGUCACAUGUAGAUUACAUUUCAUAUAAUUUUAAUAAAGGUAUAAACACACACAAAAAAAGAGCUCUUUAAAACUUAAUAAUAUUUUCUAGUCAUUGGCAAAUAAAAAAGAAAAGAAAAAGGUGACACUUAUGAUCAUACUAACAAUGCAUAGUAUGUGUAGGGGUAGUUCACACCUUCUAGAAGUCAUUCCAGUUGCAAAUUAAACGUCUUCAACCAAAUGAGGAAAUGCUUUUAAAACCACAAAAGAGUAUAAAUUUUCAUACUAGCAAAUAACCAAACAACAACAAAAGAAUCAUGGAAAGAUACCAAGUUACCAACAAGAGUACACAUAAUUCGCAAACCCAACAAAAGUUGGCGCUAAAGAGAAACUCAAUGAGGUUUUUGUUUUUACGAACAAAGUUACGUAUUAAUGUUGGGUUACUCACUUACUUGCCUCUGAGUGGAUUUUUUUUAAUUUUCUUUCCUCCCUCAAAAUACUAAUCAUAUGAAAAAGGAAAAGAACACAAAAAUAAUUUAGGGGAAGAUCAUAUGAAAAUCAUACUAUCUUAAUCCCCAUAUGAAAAAGAAAAUCAUAGUAGUAAGAUGCACUUAAUCUAAUCAUAACACAAGUUGACAAAGAAAAGUUCUGAAUUGUAACUUACAUAUACAAAAUUUCAUAAUAAUUAAAAAAACAAUUUAGGAGAAUAUAAAUAAAGUUUCGAAAUUUUCGAUGAAAGUGGAUCACUGAUAUAACUGAUCUGUUGCCCACAUUAUCGCUUUACAUUGACCACUUUUUUUUCCCUUUUAUUUAUUUAAUUUUUGGUGUGCACCACCAGUAUAUAUAUAUUAAGCUUAAUGAACAAAUAUUUGGUUGUGUAAAUGUAUAAUUUCAUCUGACAAAGAUUAACAAAUCAAAACAAAAGGGGGAAAUUGACCGUUUUAUUACUAUCAAAUUCAUUUAAAUUUUUUAAAAAUACAGUUAUGGACAGAGCUUGACUUGACUGGCGAUGGCUGCAGAUGAACAGAGUUUUAAAGAACGACUCAAAAUCAAGCAAAUAUAAAGCUCACGUAGUAGUGAUUAAAACAUAAAAUAUUAUUAUUGAAAAAAAAACUAUGUGCUUUUUUUCUUUAAUAUAUGAUGCCUCCAAUCCCAAUCGGAGAACAUAAAAACCUCCCAAAGGGUUCUCUGUUCUAUCUGAAACAAAAAUAAAAUAAAAGAACCCGGAAUGGGUUUUUUGUUGUCUUUUGUUUUGGUCUUUUUGGAUGACUAAAAGAAAACAAAAAAAAAAUAAAAACAAUGAUGAUGACGAUAAAAAUGCAAAACUGGAGAUGGCAGAGAUUGGUCUCUCUUAAGACAUGACUGACUAAUGAGAGUCGACCUGACUCAUCUUGAUAAGCCUCUCUUUUAUCUUUUUAAGGAUAAAUAUAGAGAGAAGCUUACUUUAAAAUAAUGCAGCCAAAUGAGACACUGACGAUUGGCUUUUUUUCAAGGCGCUGAAGCCGUGGAGAAAUCAGGAUGCAGAUGAUUGCUUCUCCAGUUUCUCCUUUAGAAUCUCGGCUCUUCUCUGCUCCGUGUGCUGAGCUAUAGUGCUUGCGAGUCCAUGGUAGUGCGGGUCUAGAGUCUGGGUAAGGCCUUGGAACCUUGUAGAGUCUGAUGCUUGCAUUCCUAUUGAAACAAAACCAAAUUUAAUGCUUAUAUGUCAAAUAUAUACAUGGCAAAAACAAAAACAAAAAUCAUAUUAUAUAAUAUCGUUUCUCUCAUAAUACCUGUGACUGCAUCCAUGAAUAGAACGAAAGGAUCCACUUCAUCAAUUGGAGAGUCUAAUUCCUCAUCAUCGCUGAAAUCAUCGUCUGAAAAGUCAUCAUCGUCGCUGUAAGAGCGGAAGUCCUUUGCCUAAUGAUAAUACACAAAAGAAGCAACUUAACUUAGUGAGCUACUACGACAAGCACACUGCACCUUUCAUGAUAUCAUUUAGAGGAUUAGAUUCAGUGGUUAAAGAAGACAGACCUGUGCUGCUAACUUGCGGAGCGUGCUUCCAUCAGUUUCAUCUGGAUUCUCGUCAUCACCAUCCUCAUCCUCAUCAUCUGACUGGAAUUCAUCCAUGUCGUCGUCAUCUUCCUCGUCUUCUUCCUCUUCUGCCUUUGCAGCUUCUGUCAUAAAUGUUCAAAUAUGAGUAUCGGCGAGGGUCAAUGGUAAGAGAAAUGGGAAAUAGUAGAUGGCACUGACCAGCAAGCUGAUCCUUGUAUGCCACUAAAAGCUCGAGAAGAGCCCUGAAUACAUGUUGCAAGACCUCUACGGGCAAUUGUCCAGCAGGGAGACUGAAAAGUGAUGUCAACCCCAAUAUGCAAACUUUCUUAUCAUGCUCUCUGCAUGUAAAGCAAGGAAGAUAAUUUACAUCUUGAAGGAAAUGUGAAGAGAAGAGAAAGAUAGAGGUUCAAAAAGAUUGGAUUUACCCACCUCUUGAAGUUAGCAUAUCCACCACUCUUCUUCUUUUCUUGCAGCAUUUGGAACCAUAGAGUAAAAAUUUCUGUUGCGAUACCAAACCGUUGCAGUAUGCCAAGUGCCAAAGGGGUAUUGUAGUAAAAGGCAUUUGCAAUCUGCCCAAGGGUAUUAUCACAGGGAUAUAUUCAAAAAUUAUUGCCAAUCAGGAAGUAAAACACAUAGCUUAACUCAGUGAAAGACAGCUAAAUGACUUCAUGAUGCACACAGUUUAACAGCGUCUACUUUGCUUACCACUUCAACCAGAAGACACUUGAAAGAAGAUUUCUCAGCACCUCGUAGCCGAUCUAGUGUGAUUCUCAUGUAGGGCUCCACCCAUUGAUCCACCUGCCCCUUACAAGUCUGAAGCACUAACCCUAAUAGCUUUGGAGCUGGCUCAAGGUCACUGUCAUCAAUAUUUUUAUUCGCCAUAAGCUGCCAUGAGAAGGAAUUAUCAAGUUAACCGAUAUAUAAGUAUGUGUUCACUGGGUGGGAAAAAGGAUGAUGCCAUCUUUUUUUUUUCUUAAAUGAGUAAACGGCAACUAUCAGAUAUUGAGCUUACCACAGAGAUCACACUCCAGAGACUUUGCUGGUAAUCUGGUUCCUUGCAAGUGAGAUAAUGUCCAGUCCCCCUGGAUAUGUAGUUGUGCAGUGGGACCAAUAAAUCUAAUAAUAUUCAAAAGAAGGAUCAGGCAAAAAGGAAAAGUAAAUAAGAAAAGUGAAUGAGUUUUAUGAAAACAGAAACGGCAAAAAAGGACUGCAUGUUCAUACUUGGGAAGAAGUCAAUUGCCCAAUCCACGAGUGCUUCCAUCAUUAAAGGCCAUAAGCUCCACAUAUCCAAUGAUAUUGUAGGUGAAAAAGUAGUAAUAUAUGAGACGAUCUCCAAAACCUCUUCAAACACAUCUGGCCAGAUAAAAUAUAUAGAUGAAGCACAAUGUUUAAAACAAGUACAAAUGACAUCAAUCCCAAUGCAUUAAAUACACAUCAUUCAAAAGAACCAAGCAAAUGAUUAACAAUUCCAGAGCUUAUAGAAUUUCUAAAACAGUAUGCAUACCUUGACCAUCAGUUGUCAGCAUUUUCCGCAUUAUUGGCAACAAAUGUGGUUCAAUCUGACCAUAGAGAUGAGGGAGACUACUGAUAGAUUCAAGAAUUGUACUGAUGGCACGGAGACAUCCCACUGCAGCCAAUGCACCAGCAUCAUCAGUUUCAUCAUCACCGUUGUCAGUGUCGAUACACCUCCAAAAUGCACUGGCCUGGAAUUUAUUAUCAUGAACAAGGUAUAAUAGGGCUAAAAGUAAUAUAAAACUAAAAAAGGGGACACUACAGUAUAUUAUCUUACCAAAUUCUGGCACAAACCCAAAGCAUAAGGAGAAAUCUCCUCUCCAAACUUAUACACAAUAGUUUCUAAAGUAAAAGCAAGGUCUUCAUUUUCAACUUCAUUCAUUAGCUUGAAAAAUUCUGCACAGCACAAGUCCAUUCCGAUUAUUAGUUAGUUAACACAAUGUUCUGUUUUAGCGAAAUAACUUGAAAUGGAAAAAGUAAAAUCAUUUGUAUAGCGUACCAUCAAGAAGCUGGGGAAGAACUGGGCGAAUCUCAUCUAGAUCUGCAGGGGAGAUAAAUUUAGUCGAAUAUACAAUUCCAUGUUAAACACAAAAAGUCUGAAGGGUAGGAAAAUCUUAAGAAAGAAAGAAACAUAUUUUUCUGGUGGUGCUGAUACUUACUUUUGCAGGCUUCAAUGAAUGACCGCAAAGCAAAAACUGAAUCCACCCGAACAGGAAGUUCGGGAUCACGCAUUCCGGAGAUAACACAAUGCAGUGCCUUGGAAAAGUUGCUCUGGUCUGAGAAAUUGAUAUGGGCAUAUUGCCCUGCAACCCAUGCAGCCUACACAGUAGAUGAGAUAAAGAAAUAAGCUUGACAAGUUACAAUAUCCAUGUGAUGAAAGCAAUGUGGAUGAUGCAAAACAAUCACAGGUUGUUUGGUCACAGAAACCCUAGAAAGAUAACAAUGAAUAAAUAAUUCAGUCACUGCAGCAUCUACGCGGGCAUAUCCUAUACCAAAAACAUAGUCCUUCGAGAAUUUGACAUGGUAGUGAUAUAUACAAGACGUUCAGAUGUUCAGGCACAGAUGUUCAGAUGUUCAGGCACAGAUGUUCAAAUUGUUUUGUCACAGAAACCCUAGAAAGAUAACAAUGAACAAAUAAUUCAGUCACUGCAGCAUCUAAGCGAGCAUAUCCUAUACCAAAAAAUAAUCCUUCGAGAAUUCACAUGGUAGUGAUAUAUACAAGAAGUUCAGAUGUUCAGGCACAGAGCUUCACAAAGCAGUAAAAGAUAAUUUGAAGCAAAUGGAGAUAGAGUAAAUUCAAAACAUCAGGUAACUGGUAGUAGGUAUCUGCAACAUCUUUGAGCACAUGAAUAGAUGAUAAUGAAUAAAAAUAUGGCUUAAACCAAAUCUGUCACUAAUACCUUAGCUCUAAGAUGACCAGCCGGGCUGCUAAAUUCAGGAAAAACGUGUUGCACUAACAUAUUCUCUAGCUCAGACUUGUAGGGUUCAUUUUGCCUAAGUUUAUCACAAAGUGUCCCAACAGCAAGCAGAGCACCAUCCUUAAGGCGAUAAGGCUUUUCUCCCAGAGAUGCUUCAUUAUAUCUAAAACAAAUAAACGAUGUAAUCAUAUCAUGUCGGAAUAAUAAAAUAUCCUUUUCUAUUUUUUGUAGACGAAGCUUGAAGUUACCUCUUAAAAAUGUCCACGAUGAACUGUAUAAAUCUUGGGAAAUUUUCUUUUCCACGCUUUCUGAUUAGCUCAGUCACAAAGUCCAUAGACGCAGUCCUGGGACUGUAUAAAUCUUCAAUGAUAUCUGUAGACAGAUAAUGUUUUAUUGUAGUUAGAAAAAGAAAGUAAAAAAAAAACAUACAAGGCAUAUUUUAGGAUUAUCCAAACAAUACAAGGUAGACUUUAUGGACAUACCAUAACCCUUCCGUACAUACUCAUGUGGGUCUUCAUCCCAAAGCAUUUGAUCAUUAUCAUUGAAGCACAUAAGUGGAAAAACUAUUUCAAAAAGUAGAGUAUGAAGGUGUGGCUGCAGUAAGUUGUACAUGCUAUUCUUCGAGAUACUGCAGAGACAUAGAUAGCCAAUAAGAAUUAUGGUACCCCAUACAUAAUAAAGAAAUCAGUAUGCAAAUAGAGCAGUUAUCGGUUUUGAAGGAAACAAUAAAUAUGCAACUAGAAAAUCAAUCCAAGACAUAAUAAUUACGGCUCUGGUUAGACGUGAGAAAAGAUAUGAAAACACCAGCAAUUUUUUAAACCAGAAGAAAAUAUUACUAGCUAGAGUCUCCAAUAAAGCCAAAAGAACCUAUACUGGGGACAUCAGGUGCAAUGAUUUUUUCAUGUCAAUAUCUCCAGAGAACUCAUAUUCAAAUAAAUUUCUAAAGUUGGUCAAAAUUUUGCCAGAGAGUAUAUCAGACCUGUUGCUUAGAUAUUGAAGAAUUAGGUUGAUGACUCUAUCUGGAAGAUAUCCACCAAUACGUACGGUAUUCAACAGUUUCAGGUGGCAUUCUAAUAUCUUCGCUGCAUAAUUCGUCUGGAACAUUUGGGCAAAGGCUUUGUUAUCCGGAUUCUGAAGUUUCAGAUCUCCAAACCUAAAUAGGUUCAUAAAAUUGUUAAGUCAAGGCAGAUGAAAAAAAUGUUAGGUUGUAAGUCAAUGGUAGGAUUUCAAUGUUCCUGCAUACCGAGUGUACAGCCUGUUUAAAAUGUGAGCAACCCAUUUUUUGACCUUCCACCACCCCCAAGAUUUCCUAAGCUCAGGGUCUUCAGGCUGGCCUUCUAUGGGAACAGGACGUUCCAAAAUGUUUAGGAACAAACCCAUCCAAGCAUUAAACAAGUUUGGAUCAAAUAAUGGUCUUGGGAGCUCUAGCUGUAUGGAACAAGGAUACACGAGAAUUAUAAAAUAGAACUUCAUUACCAACCUCCUAAAACCCAUAUACUUCUUACAAAAAAAAAAAUCCACAAAAUUCCCCAGUUGAAGCCAGGGAACAGCUACAAACAAUUAAGGAUAAUUACUGCAAGAUGUAAAACUUACAUAAAUACACGACCAAAAUAUCUUGCAUACAAGCUUGAUAUGGUCUGCCACUUCGAGAGAAGGAUUUUCAACAUGGACGAGAUUGUUAAAUAUAUUCAAAAGGUGCGGAAAGGUCUCCUCGACUACUCGGUGAAUGGGUGCCCUGUCUUCAUCUGACUUAAACCUAUAAACAGAAAGUGGGAAAAGCAGAAAGGGAACUUAAAAAUGUAUAUCUGAUUGAAUCUGCAAGGUGUUGCUCUGAUUUUAAAUAUGAUAUUGAUAGUCAAACUCUUCCUGAGACAGUAUCAACCCCACAGUGAUAUGUAACCCAAGCUAAUCUAAAUGCGCAUAUCUUUCCGACUAAUCUACUACUGAUAAUUAUGCCAUGAUUUUGCAAGUUCAAGAAUUGAGCCCACAGGAAUUACAUAAGCUAAUAAUGGCUGCAAAGAUAUAAACCUCUAGGACUCUCAAAACUGAGCAGUGUAAAUAAAAUCUACAAAGCACUAUGCAAGAGGCAGAGCACCAAUAAAGAACACUAGUGAUUAUAGAAUCCGAUUUGUAUCAUUAUCAUUAAUAAUAAGAGGAGCUGAAGCAUAAUGGCAAAUAAAAGUUUGAUUUAUGGGGAUAAGAAGAGUCAAAAAUUGGAAAAAAAAAUAUUAAAUUAAUUGACCAAAAGGGUAUAGAGGAACUCUAUUUCUCAUAAAAGACAAGGAAAUUUUCAGAGGAAGAACAAACAUAAUAAGAUGACUGAAAAAGGCCAAUUGCUAAUCUAUGCUUGUGACAUGAACUACGAACAGGAAAAUAAAUAAGUUGAGCUACAAUUCUUAUGCACAUGGUGAUUUGGACAGUC
Molecule: long non-coding RNA, 7996 nt
Filed under: Capsella rubella
Lineage: Eukaryota; Viridiplantae; Streptophyta; Magnoliopsida; Brassicales; Brassicaceae
Description: long non-coding RNA (CRUB_LNC002882)
Source: RNAcentral